Molecule: ribosomal RNA, 1410 nt
Rfam family: Bacterial small subunit ribosomal RNA
CAUGCAAGUCGAGCGGUAGCACAGAGGAGCUUGCUCCUUGGGUGACGAGCGGCGGACGGGUGAGUAAAGUCUGGGGAUCUGCCUGAUGGAGGGGGAUAACUACUGGAAACGGUAGCUAAUACCGCAUGACGUCUUCGGACCAAAGUGGGGGACCUUCGGGCCUCACGCCAUGAGAUGAACCCAGAUGGGAUUAGCUGGUAGGUGAGGUAACGGCUCACCUAGGCGACGAUCCCUAGCUGGUCUGAGAGGAUGACCAGCCACACUGGAACUGAGACACGGUCCAGACUCCUACGGGAGGCAGCAGUGGGGAAUAUUGCACAAUGGGGGAAACCCUGAUGCAGCCAUGCCGCGUGUGUGAAGAAGGCCUUCGGGUUGUAAAGCACUUUCAGCGGGGAGGAAGGCAAUGAGCUUAAUAAGUUUGUUGAUUGACGUUACCCGCAGAAGAAGCACCGGCUAACUCCGUGCCAGCAGCCGCGGUAAUACGGAGGGUGCAAGCGUUAAUCGGAAUGACUGGGCGUAAAGCGCACGCAGGCGGUCUGUUAAGUUGGAUGUGAAAUCCCCGGGCUCAACCCGGGAACAGCAUUCAAAACUGACAGGCUAGAGUCUCGUAGAGGGGGGUAGAAUUCCAGGUGUAGCGGUGAAAUGCGUAGAGAUCUGGAGGAAUACCGGUGGCGAAGGCGGCCCCCUGGACGAAGACUGACGCUCAGGUGCGAAAGCGUGGGGAGCAAACAGGAUUAGAUACCCUGGUAGUCCACGCUGUAAACGAUGUCGACUUGGAGGUUGUGGUCUUGAACCGUGGCUUCCGGAGCUAACGCGUUAAGUCGACCGCCUGGGGAGUACGGCCGCAAGGUUAAAACUCAAAUGAAUUGACGGGGGCCCGCACAAGCGGUGGAGCAUGUGGUUUAAUUCGAUGCAACGCGAAGAACCUUACCUACUCUUGACAUCCAGAGAAGACUGUAGAGAUACGGUUGUGCCUUCGGGAGCUCUGAGACAGGUGCUGCAUGGCUGUCGUCAGCUCGUGUUGUGAAAUGUUGGGUUAAGUCCCGCAACGAGCGCAACCCUUAUCCUUUGUUGCCAGCACUUCGGGUGGGAACUCAAAGGAGACUGCCGGUGAUAAACCGGAGGAAGGUGGGGAUGACGUCAAGUCAUCAUGGCCCUUACGAGUAGGGCUACACACGUGCUACAAUGGCGCAUACAAAGAGAAGCGAGCCUGCGAGGGUGAGCGGACCUCAUAAAGUGCGUCGUAGUCCGGAUUGGAGUCUGCAACUCGACUCCAUGAAGUCGGAAUCGCUAGUAAUCGUAGAUCAGAAUGCUACGGUGAAUACGUUCCCGGGCCUUGUACACACCGCCCGUCACACCAUGGGAGUGGGUUGCAAAAGAAGUAGGUAGCUUAACCUUAGGGGGGGCGCU